Myotis brandtii (Brandt's bat) is the source of this 231-nucleotide long non-coding RNA. RefSeq lists it as uncharacterized. The transcript is spliced from 3 exons. NCBI's taxonomy places the organism in Eukaryota, Metazoa, Chordata, Mammalia, Chiroptera, Vespertilionidae. The record is from RefSeq and is a predicted model, not a curated record.
CUUGUGGCAAGCUGUGGCUCUCAUCCACCUCAAACCAUUGCAAUACCCAAGAGAAAGCAAUGCUCAGCACAUGCUUGCUGAAUAAAUCAAUAAAUAGACCCACAACAUGGCAAAAACUGAAGUAAUAUUUAUCUUCUCAGGCAGCUUCACCUCCGAAGCCCCAAACUCAGCCCUGCAUCUGCGCAUGGCCGGCAGCAGUGUUGAAGAGGCAGGCCCUCCAGUUUGUCCUCU